AGAGUUUGAUCCUGGCUCAGAAUCAACGCUGGCGGCGCGCUUAACACAUGCAAGUCGCACGAGAAAGUUGUGAAGGAGCAAUCUGGAUCAAUGAGUAAAGUGGCGUACGGGUGAGUAACACGUGGAUCAUCUACCUUUUAGUGGGGAAUACCUCCUGGAAACGGGAGACAAUACCGCAUAAGCUCGAAAGAGGAAAGCAGCAAUGCGCUGAAAGAGGAGUCCGCGGCCGAUUAGCUAGUUGGCGGGGUAACGGCCCACCAAGGCGAAGAUCGGUAGCCGGCCUGAGAGGGCUCACGGCCACACUGGCACUGAAACACGGGCCAGACUCCUACGGGAGGCAGCAGUGGGGAAUCUUGCACAAUGGAGGAAACUCUGAUGCAGCGACGCCGCGUGAGCGAUGAAGCCCUUCGGGGUGUAAAGCUCUUUCGACGGGAACGAUAAUGACGGUACCCGAAGAAGAAGCUGCGGCUAACUACGUGCCAGCAGCCGCGGUAAUACGUAGGCAGCAAGCGUUGUUCGGAAUUACUGGGCGUAAAGAGUGUGUAGGCGGUGCUCUAAGUCUGUCGUGAAAUCUCCCGGCUUAACUGGGAGGGUGCGGCGGAAACUGGAGUGCUCGAGGGUGGGAGAGGAAAGCGGAAUUCCUGGUGUAGCGGUGAAAUGCGUAGAUAUCAGGAGGAACACCUGCGGUGUAGACAGCUUUCUGGACCACUUCUGACGCUGAGACACGAAAGCGUGGGUAGCAAACAGGAUUAGAUACCCUGGUAGUCC
Molecule: ribosomal RNA, 768 nt
Filed under: uncultured bacterium
Lineage: Bacteria
Description: bacterial SSU rRNA
Rfam family: Bacterial small subunit ribosomal RNA
Source: RNAcentral